AAGUAUUUGAAGAGGACGAACAAACGAAGAUGCGACAAACAAACGGAGAUGGAAUUCUAUUUAGUUUUUCUUCUUCUUCUUUUUCUUCUUGUUUUU
This 96-nucleotide non-coding RNA is filed under the name uncultured Entomoneis. Lineage: Eukaryota; Bacillariophyta; Bacillariophyceae; Surirellales; Surirellaceae. The record is from RNAcentral.